RNAcentral lists this ribosomal RNA (739 nucleotides) under bacterium enrichment culture clone BH81. Its description in RNAcentral is "bacterial SSU rRNA". It matches the Rfam family "Bacterial small subunit ribosomal RNA", at positions 68 to 783 of the family's 1533-position model. The record is from RNAcentral.
GGGAUAAGUAGCUUGCUAUUUAUUCUAGUGGCGCACGGGUGAGUAGCGCGUAGAUAAUCUGCCUUAGACUCUGGGAUAACAUCUCGAAAGGGGUGCUAAUACCGGAUAAGCCCACGAGGGCGUGAGUUUUCGCGGGAAAAGGGGGCCUCUAUUUAUAUGCUCCUGGUUUAAGAUGAGUCUGCGUACCAUUAGCUUGUUGGUGGGGUAAUGGCCUACCAAGGCGACGAUGGUUAGCUGGUCUGAGAGGAUGAUCAGCCACACUGGGACUGAGACACGGCCCAGACUCCUACGGGAGGCAGCAGUGGGGAAUUUUGCGCAAUGGGGGCAACCCUGACGCAGCAACGCCGCGUGAGUGAUGAAGGCUUUCGGGUCGUAAAGCUCUGUCUAGAGGGAAGAAAUGCAGUGUGGUUAAUACCCAUGCUGCUUGACGGUACCUCUGAAGGAAGCACCGGCUAACUCCGUGCCAGCAGCCGCGGUAAUACGGAGGGUGCAAGCGUUGUUCGGAAUUAUUGGGCGUAAAGCGCGUGCAGGCGGUUUGUUAAGUCUGAUGUGAAAGCCCCGGGCUCAACCCGGGAAGUGCAUUGGAAACUAGCAGACUUGAAUACGGGAGAGGGUAGUGGAAUUCCGAGUGUAGGAGUGAAAUCCGUAGAUAUUCGGAGGAACACCGGUGGCGAAGGCGGCUGCCUGGACCGAUAUUGACGCUGAGACGCGAAAGCGUGGGUAGCAAACAGGAUUAGAU